Molecule: long non-coding RNA, 1161 nt
Organism: Prosopis cineraria
Lineage: Eukaryota; Viridiplantae; Streptophyta; Magnoliopsida; Fabales; Fabaceae
Exons: 4
Source: RefSeq, a predicted model, not a curated record
AUGCUUCGGUUGCUAGAUCUUUGAUGGUGGUAUCGAAUUUCUGUAUCUCGGUGAAAAUAGUGCUAAAUUUUAACCAGAAUUCUAAGUUCUCCUCUAGAAGUUUAUCAAUGCUCAUCCGGAACUUCUCUUCUAUGGCUGAGGAGAUCCAGUUUCUGACGCAGAUAUCUAAUUUCUUCAUCUUUUGAAGCAAUAGCACGCUUUAGUUCCUGCAACUGCAAGGAUGUAUCAAAGUCACUGUCUUGAUUUUUCUUCCCCAGCUCACUGUGACAAUGUCUCUUGGCAUGAUUUAAGAGCUGCUUCUGCCAUCAAACGACGAGCUUCAUUGUCAUCAAUAACAGUAACUUCACCAAGCUCAUCUUGUAAACUGAAAACUCUCUCUUGUAACUCAUUGAUCUGCUCCUCAGUUUCCCAGUACGUUGCAAUGGCAUUAUCAUAAGAGCUCUUUACAAACUCUUUCACAGUUUGCAGUCCCAGAAUCUGUUUCUGAAGCUUGUCAACCUCUUCAAGUGCCUCCUUUUUGCUCAGUCCAGAUUUAGGAGCUCUGGCAUUAGCUUCUGCAGUGGAUGUCUUCUUGGAAUACAACUUCUUCGGUGCUGCUACAUUUGCACUUUUAAAAUCUUUAACCGGAGGCUUUGGGAUGCUUGGUGGUUUGAAACCUUCUGGUAGUUUUCUGGGGACCCUUGGUGACAUUGGUGAUGCUUCAUCAUCAUCAUCCUCCAUGAAGGUGACUUGAUCUGGGCAGACAGAAGCAAUGGUGGUGUUUGCAUUUUGCAACUCAGUUGAUAUGUGAUCAUAUCGUUCAGCUAAAGCUCGGGAUCUUGUUGAGCGAAGCAAGAACAAGGAAGCUCUGUUCCUGUUAAUCUGCCUAAUUAAAGAAGACGACGUGGAUUCCAUGACAUGACUGAAAGAUUGGAAAGAGAUUAAAUCAAACAGAGAAGAGACAGAGAGAGGGAGAGGGAGAGAGAGAGAACGUGCAAGUAAGAAACUUGGUGCAAAUUAUGAGGAUGAUGGAGGGGAGCAAAUCUCGGCCGAAUUUAUUGUGCGAACCUUCCUUUCUGAAAAAAGCGUUGCAGCCAAAACAACAACAAAAAAGCUUCGCGUAUAUUGUUAUUGUAUUACACAUAUAAGCCUUUUCUGUUCAUACAUUGUUUGUUAUCCCAA